GUACUGUUGAAGAGUCCCAAACUAGGACGAAAUAGCUGUCCAGUAC
Molecule: non-coding RNA, 46 nt
Organism: Trichobilharzia regenti
Lineage: Eukaryota; Metazoa; Platyhelminthes; Trematoda; Strigeidida; Schistosomatidae
Source: Rfam